UACAGAGGUCUCAAGCGUUGUUCGGAAUCACUGGGCGUAAAGGGUGCGUAGGCCGCACGGUAAGUCAGAGGUGAAAUCCCGGAGCUCAACUUCGGAAUUGCCUCCGAUACUGCCGUGCUUGAGGACUGGAGAGGAGAUUGGAAUUCACAGUGGAGCAGUGAAAUGCGUAGAUAUUGUGAGGAACACUAGUGGCGAAGGCGAAUCUCUGGACAGUUCCUGACGCUGAGGCACGAGGGCCAGGGGAGCAAACGGG
Molecule: ribosomal RNA, 253 nt
Filed under: uncultured bacterium
Lineage: Bacteria
Description: partial 16S ribosomal RNA
Rfam family: Bacterial small subunit ribosomal RNA
Source: RNAcentral